This is a long non-coding RNA of Gallus gallus (chicken), 1189 nucleotides long. The record is from Ensembl. Lineage: Eukaryota; Metazoa; Chordata; Aves; Galliformes; Phasianidae.
CGACGGGAGGGGCGAUGGGCGCGGCUGAGCGCCGCCUCGGUGGGGCGCGGGGCUGAGGCGAGCGAGGUGGUGGACGGUUCUCUCGGCCCGGCGGCUCUCACUGGAAGACUUAAGGUCUGAUGUGAUGUGCGGGAGAGCCGUCCUUGUGGCACAACACCUCAUCCCUCUGUAGCCAACGGAAGGAUGGAAGUACGCAGUCGUUCCAGACAUAGAAUUCCUUACAGGGACAUUUGUACUCCACAGCUUCUUUAGGAUGUUACAAUAUCCAUGUUGGUAUGUCCAUGUUUCUUUAUGCCUCAAGUGUCAGUGCAGCUGAGUAUCUGGAAGAUCUCACUUGCACAUAUAGCUAUGCUUUGUGAACUUCUAAAAGUAGAGAAUGCCUCUUCCUAUACAUUUUGUACUGAACUUGGCCACUGAAACUCCAGAAUUGGAUAGGACAUAUAGGAGCAGCUGUAAUAAAAAUUACAGCACAAAAAGCCCAGCACAGAUACUUGAACAGUCACCAAUACUGGAAUAUGAUUGUUGCUUUCAGCACUAGGAAUCCUCCACCACCAGGAUUUUUCAGCCAGUAAGUACAUUGCAGAUAGGAAGCAGCAUGAAGCCCACAUGAAGAGAUCUACAUAAUUAGUGCUAGCUCAGGUCUCUUACAAGGAAUUCCCAAAAUACAGCUCAGAAGAGAACCAGCCCAAUUAUCUUGCUACUAUGUGUGCUUUGAGGAGAAUAGUAGAAGAUGCAGAUUAUGUUUGGUAGAGUUUAUUCUACUAAGUAUAAUGUUACUAAAAGCUGUAUUGGUCCAGCUCACAACAGAAGUAACAGUUGCCUUCAGCAUCCAAAAGUUGGGCCAAUCAACUGAACAUGGGUGAAAAGAAGCAGCUUGUGUUCCUCACUGUUAUGCUUCAUAAAUUGUUUGAUGUCCCUGUGCCUUUAAUUCAGCUGUAAAAUGAAUUAAUACUGCUCUGUCUAGAACACAUUAGGAUUUGCAAAUGAAAGAACACUGAUAGAUGAUAUUUAUGUUUUAUUUUUCUUAGAAUUGGCAUUGCCAUUAUCAGUACUGAAUGCCUAAAAUAAUCUGUGCAGCAGGCAAAACUACUGUUGUCAACUAAAAGUAGUCUGUCACCGCUGGGCUGGGUGUCAUGCAAAUACAUGUCUCUGUCUAGGAGGAAGCUAGAUCUCUCCCUUUGUGUUUGAA